Molecule: ribosomal RNA, 380 nt
Filed under: uncultured eukaryote
Lineage: Eukaryota
Description: partial 18S ribosomal RNA
Rfam family: Eukaryotic small subunit ribosomal RNA
Source: RNAcentral
CAAUAGCGUAUAUUAAAGUUGUUGCGGUUAAAAAGCUCGUAGUUGGAUUUCUGCCGAGGACGACCGGUCUGCCCACUGGGUGUGUAUCUGGCUCGGCCUGGGCAUCUUCUUGGAGAACGUAUCUGCACUUGACUGUGUGGUGCGGUAUCCAGGACUUUUACUUUGAGGAAAUUAGAGUGUUUCAAGCAGGCACACGCCUUGAAUACAUUAGCAUGGAAUAAUAAGAUAGGACCUCGGUUCUAUUUUGUUGGUUUCUAGAACUGUGGUAAUGAUUAAUAGGGAUAGUUGGGGGCAUUCGUAUUUAACUGUCAGGGGUGAAAUUCUUGGAUUUGUUAAAGACGGACUACUGCGAAAGCAUUUGCCAAGGAUGUUUUCAUUGA